UUACAGAGAGCAGCACUAUACAGGGAGCACUGACUGUCCCAAUUUAUUAUACACACAGACCUGUGUUAGUCAGAGCUCCCUGUAUAGUGCUGCUCUCUGUAU
Molecule: non-coding RNA, 102 nt
Organism: Pelobates cultripes (western spadefoot toad)
Lineage: Eukaryota; Metazoa; Chordata; Amphibia; Anura; Pelobatidae
Source: the annotation of a GenBank genome assembly